GGAAAGGUAAAACGUAACAAGGUUUCCGUAGGUGAACCUGCGGAAGGAUCAUUAUUGAACUGUGUUUUCGAAGAAAACACUUACUCGAUGGGUUGUCGCUGGCUCCUUUGGAGCAUGUGCACGCCUGUCUUGACUUCAUUCAUCCACCUGUGCACCACUUGUAGUCUUUGGGGGGUUUGUGAGAGAGAGAGUGGCUGACUUGUCGGG
RNAcentral lists this ribosomal RNA (207 nucleotides) under Chlorophyllum globosum. RNAcentral's name for it is "partial 18S ribosomal RNA". The stretch from base 1 to 54 matches the Rfam family "Eukaryotic small subunit ribosomal RNA", at positions 1778 to 1831 of the family's 1831-position model. Lineage: Eukaryota; Fungi; Basidiomycota; Agaricomycetes; Agaricales; Agaricaceae. The record is from RNAcentral.